Molecule: non-coding RNA, 135 nt
Organism: Ciona intestinalis (vase tunicate)
Lineage: Eukaryota; Metazoa; Chordata; Ascidiacea; Phlebobranchia; Cionidae
Source: Rfam
UAACGGUCUUAUCGAAGCCAGUUAUUUCGUUCCUAUGAAAUAACUGGUCAUAUCUGACCAAAAGAAAUGUUUUAAUGACGGUCGCUAGUUCACCAGCUUAAUGUGGAUAUUGCAUCACUACUGAAACGAACAAUA